GAUGAACGCUAGCUACAGGCUUAACACAUGCAAGUCGAGGGGCAUCAGGAAGAAAGCUUGCUUUCUUUGCUGGCGACCGGCGCACGGGUGAGUAACACGUAUCCAACCUGCCCUUUACUCGGGGAUAGCCUUUCGAAAGAAAGAUUAAUACCCGAUAGCAUAAUGAUUCCGCAUGGUUUCAUUAUUAAAGGAUUCCGGUAAAGGAUGGGGAUGCGUUCCAUUAGGUUGUUGGUGAGGUAACGGCUCACCAAGCCUUCGAUGGAUAGGGGUUCUGAGAGGAAGGUCCCCCACAUUGGAACUGAGACACGGUCCAAACUCCUACGGGAGGCAGCAGUGAGGAAUAUUGGUCAAUGGGCGUUAGCCUGAACCAGCCAAGUAGCGUGAAGGAUGAAGGCUCUAUGGGUCGUAAACUUCUUUUAUAUAAGAAUAAAGUGCAGUAUGUAUACUGUUUUGUAUGUAUUAUAUGAAUAAGGAUCGGCUAACUCCGUGCCAGCAGCCGCGGUAAUACGGAGGAUCCGAGCGUUAUCCGGAUUUAUUGGGUUUAAAGGGAGCGUAGGUGGACUGGUAAGUCAGUUGUGAAAGUUUGCGGCUCAACCGUAAAAUUGCAGUUGAUACUGUCAGUCU
Molecule: ribosomal RNA, 624 nt
Filed under: uncultured Bacteroides sp.
Lineage: Bacteria; Pseudomonadati; Bacteroidota; Bacteroidia; Bacteroidales; Bacteroidaceae
Description: bacterial SSU rRNA
Rfam family: Bacterial small subunit ribosomal RNA
Source: RNAcentral